UACGGGGGGGGCAAGCGUUGUUCGGAAUUACUGGGCGUAAAGGGCUCGUAGGCGGCCAACUAAGUCGGAUGUGAAAUCCCCAGGCUCAACCUGGGAACUGCAUCCGAUACUGGAUGGCUUGAAUUCGGGAGAGGGAUGCAGAAUUCCAGGUGUAGCGGUGAAAUGCGUAGAUAUCUGGAGGAAUACAGGUGGCGAAGGCGGCAUCCUGGACCGACAUUGACGCUGAGGAGCGAAAGCCAGGGGAGCAAACGGG
This 253-nucleotide ribosomal RNA is filed under the name uncultured bacterium. RNAcentral's name for it is "partial 16S ribosomal RNA". It matches the Rfam family "Bacterial small subunit ribosomal RNA", at positions 524 to 776 of the family's 1533-position model. The record is from RNAcentral.